RNAcentral lists this ribosomal RNA (253 nucleotides) under uncultured bacterium. RNAcentral's name for it is "partial 16S ribosomal RNA". It matches the Rfam family "Bacterial small subunit ribosomal RNA", at positions 524 to 776 of the family's 1533-position model. The record is from RNAcentral.
GACAGAGGUCCCGAGCGUUAGGCGGAAUCACUCGGCUUAAAGCGUGUGUAGGCGGAUCGUUAAGUACCUUGUGAAAUCCCACGGCUUAACCGUGGAACUGCUUGGUAUACUGGCGAUCUUGAGCCACUUAGGGGCUACCGGAACAAAUGGUGGAGCGGUGAAAUGCGUAGAUAUCGGGAGGAACACCAAUGGCGAAGGCAGCUCGCUGGGACGGUACUGACGCUGAGACGCGAAAGCGUGGGGAGCAAACAGG